Molecule: non-coding RNA, 70 nt
Organism: Dipodomys ordii (Ord's kangaroo rat)
Lineage: Eukaryota; Metazoa; Chordata; Mammalia; Rodentia; Heteromyidae
Source: Rfam
GGGAAGGUGGCUCAGUGGUAGAGCGCAUGCCUUCCAUGCAUAAGGCCCAAGGUUUGAUUCCUCAGUACCA